RNAcentral lists this ribosomal RNA (483 nucleotides) under uncultured bacterium. Its description in RNAcentral is "partial 16S ribosomal RNA". It matches the Rfam family "Bacterial small subunit ribosomal RNA", at positions 28 to 507 of the family's 1533-position model. The record is from RNAcentral.
AUUGAACGCUGGCGGCAUGCUUUACACAUGCAAGUCGAACGGCAGCGCGGGCUUCGGCCUGGCGGCGAGUGGCGAACGGGUGAGUAAUGCAUCGGAACGUGCCCAGUAGUGGGGGAUAGCCCGGCGAAAGCCGGAUUAAUACCGCAUACGACCUGAGGGUGAAAGCGGGGGACCGAAAGGCCUCGCGCUAUUGGAGCGGCCGAUGUCGGAUUAGCUAGUUGGUGGGGUAAAGGCUUACCAAGGCGACGAUCCGUAGCUGGUCUGAGAGGACGACCAGCCACACUGGGACUGAGACACGGCCCAGACUCCUACGGGAGGCAGCAGUGGGGAAUUUUGGACAAUGGGGGCAACCCUGAUCCAGCCAUGCCGCGUGCGGGAAGAAGGCCUUCGGGUUGUAAACCGCUUUUGUUCGGGAAGAAAUCCUCUGGGCUAAUACCCCGGGGGAUGACGGCACCGGAAGAAUAAGCACCGGCUAACUACGUG